GACGAACGCUGGCGGCGUGCUUAACACAUGCAAGUCGAACGGACAGGCCCUGCUUUUGUGGGGUGCUCGAGUGGCGAACGGGUGAGUAACACGUGAGUAACCUGCCCUUGACUUUGGGAGAACUUCAGGAGACUGGGGCUAAUACCGGGUAGGAGAUCCUGCUGCAUGGUGUGGGUUGGAAAAUUUCGGCGGUUGGGUAUGGACUCGCGGCAUAUCCGCUUGUUGGGGGGGUAGGGGAUGAGCAAUGCUUUGAAGGCGAGCCGGCCUGGGAGGGUGACCGGCCACAUUGGGCCUGGGAUGCGGCCCAGACGCAUACGGGCGGCAGCAGUGGAGAACAUUGCACAAUGGGCCGAAGCAUGAUGCAGCAACGCCGCGUGCGGGAUGACUGCCUUCGGGUUGGAAACCGCUUUCGCCUGUGACGAAGCGUGAGUGACGGUAAUGGGUAAAGAAGCACCGGUUAACUACGU
RNAcentral lists this ribosomal RNA (467 nucleotides) under uncultured bacterium. RNAcentral describes it as "partial 16S ribosomal RNA". It matches the Rfam family "Bacterial small subunit ribosomal RNA", at positions 28 to 506 of the family's 1533-position model. The record is from RNAcentral.